GAACUUGAUCCAGAAAUCAUUUUGCACCAAUUACUUCUUCAAUGAUACAACCUCAACUACUAUCAAAUCACAAUAUGGAACUUGAUCCAAGAAAUCAUUUUGCACCAAUUACUUCUUCAAUGGUACAACCUCAACUACCAUCAAAUCACAAUAUGGAACUUGAUCCAAGAAAUCAUUUUGCACCAAUUACUUCUUCAAUGGUACAACCUCAACUACUAUCAAAUCACAACAUGGAAUUUGAUCCAAGAACUCAUUUUGUGCCAAAUACUUCUUCAAUGGUAAGGAUAAACAUGUGCUUUAAAAUUUUUGUUUAGUAUG
Pistacia vera is the source of this 318-nucleotide long non-coding RNA. RefSeq lists it as uncharacterized. Lineage: Eukaryota; Viridiplantae; Streptophyta; Magnoliopsida; Sapindales; Anacardiaceae. The transcript has 4 exons. The record is from RefSeq and is a predicted model, not a curated record.